This is an RNA transcript of Tympanuchus pallidicinctus (lesser prairie-chicken), 2394 nucleotides long. It is a transcript of the gene named acid sensing ion channel subunit 2, with no coding region annotated. Lineage: Eukaryota; Metazoa; Chordata; Aves; Galliformes; Phasianidae. The transcript is spliced from 11 exons. The record is from RefSeq and is a predicted model, not a curated record.
GCCAGCCAUCAGCUCUGGGUAGCGGCAUCCUUGGCUUCACGCACCAGUUAACAGGCUGCGAGCUGCUCCGCUUGUUUCAAGCUCUCCCUCUCGCUUAAUCUCAUCUUGUUCGGUGUGUGUGUGUGUGUGUGCGCGUGUGUAGGGGGAGGACUUUAUUUCCAUUGGCUCGGCUUUCGCUUCCCACCCACAUCUCUUCCACAUCACCUUGGUGUCUCCCUAAAUAAAACCAGCCCUUCUUAUCACACCGACGAAAUCAAGAGCUAGAGUUUGAAUGGAUGUUUGUAUAAAUAUUUACCCCUACGAAGCUAUUGCUGAGCUGGUGGGAUAAGCUUGUGGCAGCUGGUCUGAGACUGUCUUUGCUCUCUCUCCUCUAAAAGGCUCUAAUUACUUUCCAGAGGGGAGGGGAAGGAUCCCAGUUCUUGCUACAGUCUGACCCAAAAAGCAGUGCAAGGAUUUCACCAGCUACUCCCAAUGGAUCUGAAGGACAGCACCAGCGAGGGCAGCAUGGGGAGCCUGCAGCCUUCCAGCAUCCAGAUUUUUGCCAACACCUCCACACUCCACGGGAUCCGUCAUGUCUUCGUCUAUGGGCCAGUGACCAUCCGGCGUCUGCUCUGGACCUUGGCCUUUGUGGGCUCUCUGGGGCUCCUCCUGGUGGAGAGCUCGGACCGGGUGACUUUCUACUUCUCCUACCAGCAUGUCACCAAAGUGGACGAGGUGGUGGCAAACAGCCUGGUGUUCCCUGCCGUCACCAUCUGUAACCUCAAUGAGUUCCGCUUUUCCCGGCUGACCACCAAUGAUCUGUACCAUGCUGGGGAGCUGCUGGCUCUGCUCGACGUCAACCUGCAGAUCCCCAACCCUCACCUGGCUGACCCGGCUGUCUUAGCCAUCCUCCAAGAGAAAGCCAACUUUAAGCAGUAUAAACCUAAAGUUUUCAACAUGCAGGAGUUCCUGGCACGGGUUGGCCACGACCUGAAGGAUAUGAUGCUGUACUGCAAAUUCAAAGGUCAAGAAUGUAACCAUGAGGACUUCAAAACUGUGUUUACAAAAUAUGGGAAAUGCUAUAUGUUUAACUCAGGAGAAGAAGGACGGCCUCUUCUUACCACAGUUAAGGGUGGGACAGGCAAUGGAUUGGAAAUCAUGCUAGACAUCCAGCAGGAUGAAUAUUUGCCAAUAUGGGGAGAAACAGAAGAGACGACAUUCGAGGCUGGAGUCAAAGUUCAGAUCCACAGCCAGUCGGAGCCGCCGUUCGUCCAGGAGCUCGGCUUCGGGGUGGCUCCUGGAUUCCAGACCUUUGUGGCCACCCAAGAGCAAAGGCUGACCUACCUGCCUCCGCCGUGGGGUGAAUGUCGCUCGUCAGACAUGGGCUUAGACUUCUUUCCCGUUUACAGCAUCACGGCUUGCAGGAUCGACUGCGAGACGCGGUACAUUGUGGAAAACUGCAACUGCAAAAUGGUUCACAUGCCAGGGGAUGCUCCCUUCUGUACCCCAGAGCAGUACAAGGAAUGUGCAGAGCCUGCGCUUGGUUUGCUUGCUGAAAAAGACAGCAAUUACUGCAUCUGCAGGACACCCUGUAACCUGACCAGGUACAACAAAGAGCUCUCCAUGGUCAAGAUCCCCAGCAAGACUUCAGCCAAGUACCUGGAGAAGAAAUUUAACAAAUCAGAAAAAUAUAUCUCAGAAAAUAUUCUUGUCUUGGACAUAUUUUUUGAGGCACUCAACUAUGAGACGAUUGAGCAGAAGAAAGCCUAUGAAGUGGCAGCCUUACUUGGUGACAUUGGAGGCCAGAUGGGGCUAUUUAUUGGUGCUAGUAUCCUCACUAUACUAGAGCUCUUUGAUUAUAUAUACGAGCUGAUCAAGGAGAAAUUAUUAGACCUACUUGGCAAGGAGGAAGAGGAAGGGAGCCAUGAUGAAAACGUGAGCACUUGUGACCCCAUGCCAAACCAUUCGGAAACCAUCAGCCACACUGUGAACGUGCCACUGCAGGCCACCCUGGGAACACUGGAGGAGAUCGCCUGCUGACACCGCCCGACCUCUGCACAGUGCCAACACCUAAGGAAGGGAAACUGCACGGGAAAGCAGGGACCGAGCUCAGUCUCUGAUUUUCACUACAAGAAGGAACUCGCGGGCCCAGCCAUCCCCUGAAAUCACCAUUACUAACGUCGUAGGCUGAAUUAGAAUAAAGAAACAAAAAGUCGCAGCUCUUGGAUUCUUCUUACGUUCUUGUCCUUCGUGUCAGUCUGUGAUGAAUCUUAAGCUAAGCCAGGUCCCCGAGGCCGGGCCACCUCAGCGCUGCCCGACACCCCCAGGUGAGCAUCCCUGCGGAGGGGCAACCGUGUGGCUCUCGGUGGAUCGUCCCCACCCGGCUGCUGUGUCAUGCUCCUCCAUCUGCAGUGC